AAUAUAGAAGACGGCGCGCUAGCGUGUCUAGUCUAUGUACAUCUAUGGUCGGCACGUCUGGUAGCAGCUCUGGCUGCUGUUGACCUUGUUUUUGGACUAAAACACGGUGGAAGCUGAAUUAGUGAGGAUGACUCCUGCUCCUGUCAUCUCUAAGCUCCUCACACAUCUUUACCUGCACAUGAGGAAAAUCACUCCUGUAGAAUGCAGAUGUUCAGAGGGAGAUGAUGCCACAUCUGGUCCAGCUGAUGGAAGGUCUUGAAGUUCUCUGACUGGCCUCGACUGAAGAUGGUCCUCUCACUGGAUUUAAGGUUCAGAUGCUCAGUAACAAACUCCACCAAUGAGCCAACAGGGAAGCUUUAGGUUUAUUAAAUGUUGCUAUGAAGGUAUCGCUGUUUUUCUUUGUGAAUGCAAUGUGCUCCAACUGAAACUUGAAUUAGAACUUAGAAGUAAAUCCUUCCAUCUGAAAGGAUCUAGUUGCAUUAAUAACCUCAUAACAUUUUAAUUUUUAUUCCAGUCUUGGUUGAAAAUAGAAUCUCUGUAUUGAUUCAGGUAAAAACUGAACUUCACAGCAUUUUGGAGCAAAACAACCAGAUGAAAACUAUGAUGGUGUUGGAUUGUCAGACCGUAAUGUUGCAGCUCAAAGCAGCUUUUCUAUCUCAGUUCAUUCUGACAUUCAGCUAUGAAUCAACACAGCAGAUGGUGAUCCAUGCUGUGGAAGUCUCACAUCUCCUGAUUUAAUGGAGCUGCUUUGCACUUUUUACACUGUUUAUUCACCAACACUUUAUUUAAUAAAAGUCCCAUCUAGUUUUUAUGAGGAAUGUGAUGUUUUAAUUUCUCUGUGAAUAACUGCAGUCUAAUGCAACAGCUGGAGUUGUAACAUCUGUCCUGAUAUUGAUCAUGAAAUAUUGAUCAGAAUACUUAUGGUCAGCAGUCAUCCCUGAAGUUUUACAUUAAAAUCUUUACUUGUGUUGUGAACUUUGGUAAGAAGCAGAAACUUUUGCGUUGCCAUGGAUACAUGAGUGUUAAAUUCUGUCCCUGUUUCCAUUUUGGGAAAUGCAGUCCAGUUCCAGAAUGUGGAGGAAUUUAGUCUCACAAUCAGACAAUAAAUAUUAUCUGAAAGUCGGGUUAUUGUUGUUUAUCAGCACAAUACAAAAAGAUUAAUGUUAGAAAUAUUCCAUUUAAGACUCUAGAAUAUCAUGAUUUAUGUAAAUUUAACUCAAUAAUAUGAAUGUUCAGGUUAAGAUUGUACAGUGAUAUUUAUUAUGCAAGUUUAGCUGAUUAAAGUUUAUGACUCUGCACUAAAAUAUUAUUUAAAUUGACAUAAUAUUUAGUGUCAGACCCUACAGUAUUGAGAUUAAGAAAUCAAAUAUUCUAUAAAAUGUAAAUACACUGAGCUAAUUUGGAUAUAUUUAAGUGAGACUCUACAAUAUUAUUUGACACAAAUCUAUCUAAAUCAAAAUUUUAAUAAUUUUCACACCAAACAUUUACUGGACUGAUUUAAACAUUAAAAUCACUCCUUUCUAAUCCUCUGCUGUACGUUCAAACCUGAGGCCUUAAAUAGAAACACACAAGUAUCUGAUUGAAGGAACUUCUGCAGAGUGCUGGUUCCAGAACAUGAUCAUAGAAUUAUAGACAAACUUUAACAAAAGCUGCCUUAGAGUUUACAAGUUUUUAUCUUAGAUUUCUUCAGUAAUUUAAUGAGUUAUCAGCAAAAAUCAAGUGUUCAUUUGAUGAACUUGAUUUCCUAAAACAUCCAGAAUUGGAGCUCAUAUCUUUGGCAACUGUAAAGUUUCUGCUCCUUCAAAGUUCACAACACAAUGAAUGAAUUCCUAAAACACUCUCAAUGCUGGAGAGUGUUUGUGAUGCUGAAGCAGUGACCAGUUUUUCUGUUUCUUCUCUGGAGAUGCACAAUGAGGGACGUCUGCAGAGACUGAGAAAGAGUCUCACCACAUCCUUACAUGAGGAAAAAGACUUUAUUGAAGACUACAAUGAGAAAAACUAUCAGACAACAGACGGCUGCAUUCAAGAGAGGAAGACCAACAAACAUCCACGUCAGCUGAUGGAGGUCCAAGAGUCUCACCAAACAAACAACCUACAGAGUGAAGACCUCAAAUCUGAUUGGACGGCCUCCUAUUCAGCCACAUGUGUGAACAAAUGCCUCUAAGCUGAUUUGUUUUCUAAAAUAAAUCUAGUUUGAG
Long non-coding RNA from Amphiprion ocellaris (clown anemonefish), 2198 nucleotides. NCBI's taxonomy places the organism in Eukaryota, Metazoa, Chordata, Actinopteri, Pomacentridae. The record is from Ensembl.